RNAcentral lists this ribosomal RNA (459 nucleotides) under uncultured bacterium. Its description in RNAcentral is "partial 16S ribosomal RNA". It matches the Rfam family "Bacterial small subunit ribosomal RNA", at positions 338 to 795 of the family's 1533-position model. The record is from RNAcentral.
CCUACGGGAGGCUGCAGUGAGGAAUAUUGGUCAAUGGUCGGGAGACUGAACCAGCCAAGCCGCGUGAGGGAUGAAGGUACAGAGUAUCGUAAACCUCUUUUGUCAGGGAACAAAGGCGGGGACGUGUCCCCGGAUGAGUGUACCUGAAGAAAAAGCAUCGGCUAACUCCGUGCCAGCAGCCGCGGUAAUACGGAGGAUGCGAGCGUUAUCCGGAUUUAUUGGGUUUAAAGGGUGCGCAGGCGGUCUGUUAAGUCAGCGGUCAAAGCCCGGGGCUCAACCCCGGCCCGCCGUUGAAACUGGCAGUCGCGAGUUGGAGAGAAGUAUGCGGAAUGCGCGGUGUAGCGGUGAAAUGCAUAGAUAUCGCGCAGAACUGAGAUUGCGAAGGCAGCAUGCCGGCUCCACACUGACGCUGAGGCACGAAAGCGUGGGUAUCGAACAGGAUUAGAUACCCCUGUAGUC